CGACUGCUAUCGGGGUGGCGCUAAGCCAUGGGAGUCGCACAUCCCACCGCCGUGGGGUGUGGCGAACGGCUGAGUAACACGUGGCUAACCUACCCUCGGGACGGGGACAACUCCGGGAAACUGGAGCUUAUCCCCGAUAGGCGGGGAGUCCUGAACGGUUCUCCGCCCAAAGGGAUGGGAGGGGGUUAUCGCCUUCCAUCCGCCCGAGGAUGGGGCUGCGUCCCAUCAGGUUGUUGGCGGGGUAACGGCCCGCCAAGCCUAUAACGGGUAGGGGCCGUGAGAGCGGGAGCCCCCAGAUGGGCACUGAGACAAGGGCCCAGGCCCUACGGGGCGCACCAGGCGGGAAACCUCCGCAAUGCGGUAACCCGUGACGGGGUCACCCCGAGUGCUCCCCUUAUGGGGAGCUUUUCCCCGCUGCAGGAAGGCGGGGGUAAUAAGUGGGGGGCAAGACUGGUGUCAGCCGCCGCGGUAAUACCAGCCCCACGAGUGGUCGGGACGGUUAUUGGGCCUAAAGCGCCCGUAGCCGGCCCAGCAAGUUCCUGCCUAAAUCACCGGGCUCAACCCGGUGACUGGUGGGAAUACUGCUGGGCUAGGAGGCGGGAGAGGCCGGGGGUACUCCUAGGGUAGGGGCGAAAUCCUAUAAUCCUAGGAGGACCACCAGUGGCGAAGGCGCCCGGCUGGAACGCGCUCGACGGUGAGGGGCGAAAGCUGGGGGAGCAAACCGGAUUAGAUACCCGGGUAGUCCCAGCUGUAAACGAUGCGGACUAGGUGUUGGACGGACCUAGGGUCCGUCCAGUGCCGCAGGGAAGCCGUUAAGUCCGCCGCCUGGGGAGUACGGCCGCAAGGCUGAAACUUAAAGGAAUUGGCGGGGGAGCACCGCAAGGGGUGGAGCCUGCGGCUUAAUUGGAGUCAACGCCGGGAACUUUACCGGGGGCGACAGCAGGAUGACGGCCAGGCUAAUGACCUUGCCCGACGCGCUGAGAGGAGGUGUACGGCCGUCGCCAGCUCGUGCCGUGAGGUGUCUGGUUAAGUCCAGCAACGAGCGAGACCCCCGCCCCUAAUUGCUACCCGCUCCUUCGGGAGCGGGGCACAUUAGGGGGACUGCCGGCGUCUAAGCCGGAGGAAGGUGGGGGCCACGGCAGGUCAGCAUGCCCCGAAACCCCCGGGCUGCACGCGGGCUACAAUGGCUGGGACAGCGGGAACCGACCUCGAAAGAGGGAGGUAAUCCCUCAAACCCAGCCGCAGUUGGGAUCGAGGACUGAAACCCGCCCUCGUGAACGAGGAAUCCCUAGUAACCGCGCGUCAUCAUCGCGCGGUGAAUACGUCCCUGCUCCUUGCACACACCGCCCGUCGCUCCACCCGAGUGGGGAGAGGGUGAGGCCCUGCUCCGAAUGGGGUAGGGUCGAACCCUCUCCCUGCGAGGGGGGAG
RNAcentral lists this ribosomal RNA (1429 nucleotides) under uncultured archaeon. RNAcentral describes it as "16S ribosomal RNA". It matches the Rfam family "Archaeal small subunit ribosomal RNA". The record is from RNAcentral.